GAUGAACGCUGGCGGCGUGCCUAAUACAUGCAAGUCGAGCGAACGGACGAGAAGCUUGCUUUUCUGAUGUUAGCGGCGGACGGGUGAGUAACACGUGGAUAACCUACCUAUAAGACUGGGAUAACUUCGGGAAACCGGAGCUAAUACCGGAUAAUCUUUUGAACCGCAUGGUUCAAAAGUGAAAGACGGUCUUGCUGUCACUUAUAGAUGGAUCCGCGCUGCAUUAGCUAGUUGGUAAGGUAACGGCUUACCAAGGCAACGAUGCAUAGCCGACCUGAGAGGGGGAUCGGCCACACUGGAACUGGGACACGGUCCAGACGCCUACGGGAGGCAGCAGUAGGGAAUCUGCCGCAAUGGGCGAAAGCCUGACGGAGCAACGCCGCGUGAGUGAUGAAGGUCUUCGGAUCGUAAAACUCUGUUAUUAGGGAAGAACAUAUGUGUAAGUAACUGUGCACAUCUUGACGGUACCUAAUCAGAAAGCCACGGCUAACUACGUG
Molecule: ribosomal RNA, 497 nt
Filed under: uncultured bacterium
Lineage: Bacteria
Description: partial 16S ribosomal RNA
Rfam family: Bacterial small subunit ribosomal RNA
Source: RNAcentral